CCCGCCGCAGCUUCGGAGUACGCGCCGGGAACGCCUUGGUAGGCCACGCGCAGCUGCGAGCCGUGCAUCGGCGCCGGCAAGAGGUCGGAGAUCGUGAGUGGCUUCGGCGGAAUCGGCUUGAUGUUUUCACCAUCGGCUUUGACAGGUACGAUAUUUAGAUUCGUUACGGCGGCGUUAUGGCCGUUCACGUCGCCGACGUUGUUGUCGUGGUCGUCGCCGUCGGCGGGAGAAUCUUCCCGCUGCGACACGACCUUACUGGCUAAGAUGGCGCACGAGCUUUGCCAAUCGGCUCGGCUCGCGCCGAGUCCCUGCGAGAAACUCGCGGAUUCGAAGCCGUAACCGCAUUUGACUGUGAAACGGGUCGGAGCGACCCGAAUGACCGAGUGACGCGCCCGGGUGAGAUAGUUGAGAGGGUUGGGGUACGGUGGGGUGAGGGUCUGCAUAUUAAAGGACUUAAAUGGAAUUAAUUAAGAAGAAAAAUUAGGGUUGGAAAGGGGAAUUUAGUUGCCUAUUGGUACUAGUACUGCUUGAAUUUGCUGAUUGGGGCUCUGGUCUGAAGCUUGAUGUUCGUUCUCUUUGAAGUGGGAACGUCGUCAAGCUGAGAGAAGACAGGGAAGGGUUAAAGGGUUUAUAUAUUGGUUGGUUGGUUAAGGAUUUUGAGGAGGAAAUGGAACAUGACAAAUCUUGAGAAUGGUGUGUGCGUUAAGGAGGUUCGGUCAAUCCCACACCUACCCCCUUCUCUUUCCAUCUCUAACAUUGCAUACGGACAUAGAUAUUUAUUAUUAUUAUUUUAUUGUAUCUAUAAUUAAUGGUAGUAGUAUUUUUAUUUUGGUGUUGAGUAUUGUUGUCAUUCAAGAAUUUCUCCCUGGGCCAUGAUUAAUUUCUGUUUUUAAAAUUUGAUUUUAGUUUUUUAAUAAACAGAAGAGUUAAAAAUGUGCUUGGUGAACUGGGUUUCUUCUUCUUCUUUUUUUCAUCUAGAACUUGGUAUCUUCUCGUCAGAAUUGAAAACUAAAUAACUAAUUUUUUUAAAAUAACAAAAUUCAUUUAAAGAUUUAACAUUUUUCAAUAUGUUACUCAAUAUUCAUGGACAUGAGGAUUGAAUCCUUAUCAAAUUCUUAAAAAGUUAAAAAAGGAUGAUUAUUUAUCAACCAUUCUAUUCUCUUUCUCCCAUUACAAUUAUCAUAUAAAAGAAAAAUAAUUAUCUUAAAAUAAUUAUUAUUUUAGUUUUUUAAUUAAAUAUUUUUAUUUAUAUCUUUUAUAAUAUUAGUAAUAAAAAAUAAAAUUUAUAAAUAAAAUAAUGAUUACUGUUUUUUUUUAUCUAUUUAUUUUUAUUUUUAUUUGUGUAAAACAAUCUAGAGUAACUAUUAUUUUGAUGAGAAAGAAAUAUUAUAUUGGUAUCUAAUUUCUUUUUUUCUUGUUAUGAAAACAGAUUUCUUCGGAGAAAUAUUAUGUACGGUCAAAUGUCUUUCAUUGGAUAAACUUGCACUUGGAAAUAGAGGGCGAGGAUUGUCAACAUGAGAUCCAUUUACUUGACCUCAUCCUCUAUAGAGGACACAAGCUUUACAUCCUAUUCUUAACUUACCCUCGUCUCUUUGCUCUUUGACAAAGUUUAUAGACAAUUGGAAAAAAUAUGAAAUUAUUAGUUAAUAUUUAUUGGGAGUCAUAAUUUUUUUAGUCUUAUUUAUUUUAAUUACUUUCUACUCAUUGUGUUAUUUUUAAUAAAUUUUAGAUUAAAUUUCAUGGAUUUUCCUACAUUUGCUCAUAUUACAAUUAAUACUUCUCC
RNAcentral lists this long non-coding RNA (1783 nucleotides) under Glycine max (soybean). RNAcentral's name for it is "long non-coding RNA (GMAX_LNC002604)". The record is from RNAcentral. Lineage: Eukaryota; Viridiplantae; Streptophyta; Magnoliopsida; Fabales; Fabaceae.